AUGGCAGGACGACUUCCGGAGACGGAUUUCUUCCAGCAAUGGACCUGCACACAGGUGCUGCAUGGCUGUCGUCAGCUCGUGUCGUGAGAUGCUGGGUUAAGUCCCGCAACGAGCGCAACCCUCGCCUCUAGUUGCCAGCAUUAAGUUGGGCACUCUAGAGGGACUGCCGGUGAUAAGCCGAGAGGAAGGUGGGGAUGACGUCAAGUCCUCAUGGCCCUUACGGGCUGGGCUACACACGUGCUACAAUGGUGGUGACAGUGGGAUGCGAAAGGGCGACCUCUAGCAAAUCUCCAAAAGCCAUCUCAGUUCGGAUUGCACUCUGCAACUCGAGUGCAUGAAGUUGGAAUCGCUAGUAAUCGUGGAUCAGCAUGCCACGGUGAAUACGUUCCCGGGCCUU
Molecule: ribosomal RNA, 397 nt
Filed under: uncultured Xanthobacter sp.
Lineage: Bacteria; Pseudomonadati; Pseudomonadota; Alphaproteobacteria; Hyphomicrobiales; Xanthobacteraceae
Description: bacterial SSU rRNA
Rfam family: Bacterial small subunit ribosomal RNA
Source: RNAcentral